RNAcentral lists this ribosomal RNA (474 nucleotides) under uncultured bacterium. Its description in RNAcentral is "bacterial SSU rRNA". It matches the Rfam family "Bacterial small subunit ribosomal RNA", at positions 28 to 526 of the family's 1533-position model. The record is from RNAcentral.
AGCGAACGCUGGCGGCAUGCCUAACACAUGCAAGUCGCGCGGGUCGGGGCUUCGGCCCCGGCCAGCGGCGGACGGGUGAGGAGCGCGUAGGAACCUGUCCCGCGGCGGGGGACAACCCUGGGAAACCGGGGCUAAUACCGCAUGCGGCCCGAGGGCGAAAGCCGGCGGAGCGAUCCGCCGGCGCCGUGGGAGGGGCCUGCGUCCGAUUAGCUUGCCGGUGGGGUAACGGCCCACCGGGGCGGCGAUCGGUAGCCGGUCUGAGAGGAUGGCCGGCCACACUGGGACUGAGACACGGCCCAGACUCCUACGGGAGGCAGCAGUGGGGAAUAUUGGGCAAUGGGCGCAAGCCUGACCCAGCAAUGCCGCGUGGGUGAAGAAGGUCCUCGGAUUGUAAAGCCCUUUCGGCGGGGACGAUGGUGACGGUACCCGCAGAAGAAGCCCCGGCCAACUUCGUGCCAGCAGCCGCAGUAAGAC